RNAcentral lists this unclassified non-coding RNA (197 nucleotides) under fungal sp. RNAcentral's name for it is "partial internal transcribed spacer region". The stretch from base 1 to 46 matches the Rfam family "Eukaryotic small subunit ribosomal RNA", at positions 1786 to 1831 of the family's 1831-position model. Lineage: Eukaryota; Fungi. The record is from RNAcentral.
AAGUCGUAACAAGGUUUCCGUAGGUGAACCUGCGGAAGGAUCAUUACUGAAUUUAAUUUCAACACGUGAACACUUAUGUUUUGCUUGGUCGACGAGCAAUUGCGUUUGUCGACCAAUUUAACAAACACUUAUAUUUUUGUCUGAACCUUGAUUAAUACAAUAAAUCAAAACUUUCAACAACGGAUCUCUUGGUUCUC